UAACUUUGCAGCCACCAGUGAGAAAUGACUCAGAACGGUGGGAAUCAAGGCACUGGAGUAAAUAAAAACAUUUUCCUAAAUUCUAGGAGUCAAGAAUUUUGAGCAGUACUGCCAUAAAAUAGGCAUUAACUUCUGUUCUAUGUAGUUUCAAAAAGGUCUUAAAAAGUCUUAGAUUUAACUUGUAGAAACCUGUAGGAACCCUGUAAAUAAUUUUAAGAGUUCUUAUGGAAAUCACCACAGUUAGUCAAUUAAAUAUAGGAAAAAACCUGAUUUUCAGUGAAAAAUGCAAAAUACAGUGGAUAAUAUUAUGCUAUGUAGUGAUACGUGACAUAACAAAGGUUAAAUGUAGAGACAAAAUAAUUCAGAAGUCGCCACAAAAAUUGUUAUAGGUCCUUAAGCGUUCAAAAAACUCCUCUUACCAUAUAUUUUCACUAAUAAUCAAUGGUUUAACACACUUUUAUAAGUAUUCCAAAUCAGUUCUUGAUGCUUUUCACAUGUUUUACAGAAUAAUUCACCAAACCAAUGUUAAAACAGCUUAGAAAAAAGCAUUUAACAUUUGUCUGUAUGUAAUGACAUGCAGCUCAUGAGGUUUUCACCUGUGCUUUUCACUUUUCUGCAGCUGAUGCUUUUCUGUACGACUCCAUCAAAGACAACGGAGACUCUGGGAGCGGGGGACCUUCAGAUGUCACAUAUUCUUCAAUUGAACUUAAAAACAUGAAGGGAGCCGAAAAACAGAAACCAGGAGAGGAGUGUACUGUUU
Molecule: long non-coding RNA, 760 nt
Organism: Sphaeramia orbicularis (orbiculate cardinalfish)
Lineage: Eukaryota; Metazoa; Chordata; Actinopteri; Kurtiformes; Apogonidae
Exons: 3
Source: RefSeq, a predicted model, not a curated record